This 72-nucleotide transfer RNA is filed under the name Ipomoea nil (Japanese morning glory). It matches the Rfam family "tRNA". From Rfam's summary of the family: Transfer RNA (tRNA) molecules are approximately 80 nucleotides in length. Their secondary structure includes four short double-helical elements and three loops (D, anti-codon, and T loops). Further hydrogen bonds mediate the characteristic L-shaped molecular structure. tRNAs have two regions of fundamental functional importance: the anti-codon, which is responsible for specific mRNA codon recognition, and the 3' end, to which the tRNAs corresponding amino acid is attached (by aminoacyl-tRNA synthetases). tRNAs cope with the degeneracy of the genetic code in two manners: having more than one tRNA (with a specific anti-codon) for a particular amino acid; and 'wobble' base-pairing, i.e. permitting non-standard base-pairing at the 3rd anti-codon position. Lineage: Eukaryota; Viridiplantae; Streptophyta; Magnoliopsida; Solanales; Convolvulaceae. The record is from Rfam by way of RNAcentral.
GGAUCUGUGGCGCAAUGGUAUUGCAUUUGGCUUAAGAUCAAAAGGUUGGGUGUUUGAUUCACGUCGGGUUCA